Molecule: long non-coding RNA, 237 nt
Filed under: Vitis vinifera (wine grape)
Lineage: Eukaryota; Viridiplantae; Streptophyta; Magnoliopsida; Vitales; Vitaceae
Description: long non-coding RNA (VVIN_LNC006567)
Source: RNAcentral
GCCAGCAAGUUUACUUAGUUCAACAGAACACACCAGCAGAGGUGGCAGGUCAAGGUAUAAGAAGAAAUGGGGAAAAGCUCAAGAACACAGUGAUGCAAAGCACUUAAAUGCAUGCGAGAGAGUAGAAGGAAAAAUUCAGAGAAAAUGACAGCAGCGCCUAUAACCACCAGCAAUGCAGUCACAGCCAAACCCCCAAACCCCACUCGCCAUGACCAGUUCGGUGCACACUACUCUCUU